GCCUGGGUGGCUCAGUCGGUUGAGCAUCUGACUUUAGCUCAGGUCAUGAUCUCACGGUCCGUGAGUUCGAGCCCCGCAUUGGGCU
This 85-nucleotide transfer RNA is filed under the name Felis catus (domestic cat). It matches the Rfam family "tRNA". From Rfam's summary of the family: Transfer RNA (tRNA) molecules are approximately 80 nucleotides in length. Their secondary structure includes four short double-helical elements and three loops (D, anti-codon, and T loops). The record is from Rfam by way of RNAcentral. Lineage: Eukaryota; Metazoa; Chordata; Mammalia; Carnivora; Felidae.